AUUGAACGCUGGCGGCAUGCCUUACACAUGCAAGUCGAACGGUAACAGCACUUCGGUGGCUGACGAGUGGCGAACGGGUGAGUAAUACAUCGGAACGUGCCCGAGAGUGGGGGGAUAACGCAGCGAAAGCUGUGCUAAUACCGCAUACGAUCUACGGAUGAAAGCGGGGGAUCGCAAGACCUCGCGCGAUUGGAGCGGCCGAUAUCAGAUUAGCUAGUUGGUGGGGUAAAAGCUCACCAAGGCGACGAUCUGUAGCUGGUCUGAGAGGACGACCAGCCACACUGGAACUGAGACACGGUCCAGACUCCUACGGGAGGCAGCAGUAAGGGAAUUUUCGGCAAUGGGGGAAACCCUGACCGAGCAAUGCCGCGUGAAUGAAGAAGGUCUUCGGACUGUAAAAUUCUGUUAUUUGUGGAAGAAAGGUAGUUGGAGGAAAUGCCAAUUACUUGACGGUACCAAAUGAGAAAGCCCCGGUAAACUAUGUGCCAGCAGCCG
Molecule: ribosomal RNA, 495 nt
Filed under: uncultured bacterium
Lineage: Bacteria
Description: bacterial SSU rRNA
Rfam family: Bacterial small subunit ribosomal RNA
Source: RNAcentral